This is a long non-coding RNA of Erigeron canadensis, 579 nucleotides long. RefSeq lists it as uncharacterized. The transcript has 3 exons. The record is from RefSeq and is a predicted model, not a curated record. NCBI's taxonomy places the organism in Eukaryota, Viridiplantae, Streptophyta, Magnoliopsida, Asterales, Asteraceae.
AGCUAAAUUCCUUCAAUUCAAGGAUAAGAACAAUCAUAUUAAUCAUCACCAUCAAGUAAUCUUUAUUCAAGAAUUCAAAGCUAGGGUUUGUGGGUUUAGUGGUGGUGGCUGAAAAUUGGGAGAAAAAGGAGGAAGGAAUUGUGAAUCUAAAACCCCAAGUAGUUGUCUUUCUUGUUGAGGUUGAAGCUUGUUGUGCAUAAUCGUUUUAGCUUUAUUUUCCAAGUUGCGGAGGAGGUAGUUCCGGAAGAGGGAACUAGGAUUGUUGAUUUGAAAGUGUUGAUUUAGAGCUUGAAGUGGUUGAAGUAAAGAUUUGCAAGAUUUGAAGGUAUUUAGGUCAUUCAUGGAUGAAUGACAAGCUUUUGGGUUUAGAGGCUUAGUUAUCCCUCUCCUUUUGGCUCUUGGUACAUUUUGGGUUGAUGGUCAUAUUUUGUUAUAUUAUGUAAAAGAUCAGGUGUAAAGCUUUUUAGAAAAGAUGUAAAGUUGCACUUUGGGCGAAAAUUGUGUCAAAAUGGGUAAGAUGACCCGUUUACUUGUAGAAACUUGGUUUGUAUAAAUGGAUGGUAUGGAGACUUUUGGAAA